RNAcentral lists this long non-coding RNA (1136 nucleotides) under Numida meleagris (helmeted guineafowl). Its description in RNAcentral is "lncRNA (ENSNMEG00000012465.1)". The record is from RNAcentral. Lineage: Eukaryota; Metazoa; Chordata; Aves; Galliformes; Numididae.
UCCUGCAGUCAAUGCUUUUAAUUACAAUUCUCUGUGAGGGAUGACUACUGAUCGUGAGUUGUUGUGGGUUUUUUUUAUGCUUCAUGGCUGCAUGACAGUUUCACUGCUACGCUACUAACCUAAUUGUGCUCUCUUCCUCAGCAGAAUGAGUCCCAGCUGAAAAGUCAAACAUCUCUGAUGAGAAUUCACAAAACUCCUCAUGACUUCCUCCUAGCAUCAGGUAGCACAUGCACUGGAUCAUAAGAGAAGGAAGAAACUGUACUGGGACACUUCAUUUUGUUAUUGCCAUUGCAUCCUUAACUGCCAGGCCUCUAAGGCCAGCAAAUGUCUGGAUCAGGAGAAGAUAUUGCAUCAGCAAGGAGGUAAACAGCUUGUGAAAAGACUAUUUCUUGCACUAGGCCUCUCUAAGUUACGAAGUACUGAAUGUCCUUUGAAAAUGGACAGAUCUGCAAAGAUAGAGGCAGAGGGUAAAUUCUUUUCAUGUUUACUGGGACACAAGCUGGGAUACGACAAAUGUAUUAUCCUUCACCUGUUAAAUGGGACAACCAAGUUUACUGACUUCCUCCAACACAGCUCAACAGUGAAGAGAGGACUAGUUUUAUAACAUUCUCACUGGAUGGAAAACAUAUACGUAAGGCAUGAUGGACACAAAAGUAACCUGAUGGCAUCUCAACAAGUUCUCCUUUACCAGGACAAAUUCAAAGUAUGCUUAAAAUUACUGCAUCUCAGAUGUGCCUCACUGCCCACUUGUGUAUUGUUAUUAGGAGAAGUUGUCAGAACAUGAUCUAUAUACCCCAUUAGCUUUAACCAACUUCCAUUCACUAAAUUGCAGGAGAUGGAUAAAGGUCAAUUGGUGGCUGAGAAAAUUGAGUUUAAUCACAGGCCACCUAAAUGAGGAAAGACAUUACCAUCUGGUAUUAUAUAGUAAAUUAAAUGGACUCUUCUCUGGCCUGUAAAGGUCAUUAUACAUUGUAAGGCAAAGGUUGUGCUGUGGAAAUGCUAAUUGAUUUUUAAUAUUGGCUGCUGACUUUCCUGUAGAGGGUGUUGAGUGCCUCUUGGGAGUGCUAGCUGACACUCAUUCCCAAUUCAGCCAUAAUUCCCGCUCCAAACCAGUGAAAUCAGAUAGACUUCCAGCU